Sus scrofa (pig) is the source of this 882-nucleotide non-coding RNA. NCBI's taxonomy places the organism in Eukaryota, Metazoa, Chordata, Mammalia, Artiodactyla, Suidae. The record is from RefSeq and is a predicted model, not a curated record.
GCUACUGACUAGGGUGUUCUGGGAAACAGAUGUGACUCAAGUAGCGUCUUUUGGGGAAGGUUUUGCUAUUGAAGACUGGAAGACAAAUGCAAAGGAUGAACUGAGGAUAAGAUCAGGAGUGUGAAGAAUGCUUGUGAGUGGGGAAGAAAUGUGUCACCCUCUAGAAGUUCAACUGGCAGACUCUUGCGCAAUGCUUCAGUAAGAUGUUGAAGCCCAGGAAAUGCAGCUGCUUUGAAUUCACACAUUAAAGAAAGGAAAAUAUAAAUGAGGAAAUUGAAGGAGCAAGGAAGUAGAAAACAAUGAAGUUUUCAUCCCUGGCUUUGCAGGGAGUACCUAGAAUCUGAAUCAGUCCAUUCUAUUAAAUAAUUGUAUUUUCUUAGGAUACACUGCUGGUCAGCAACUACAGCGGCUAAUGAUUUAAUCCUUGUGUAUCCAGAUAGAGAGCGGCAUCCUUUGUUUUACAGCACUGUUUGUGUACUGCAGUCCCUACAGCCUGCCCCCCACACCACUUUGGAAUUGGGUCCAGAGCCCUUUUAAUGAGCCUUUGUUCCAAACUGUCAAGGAUGUUGGUAUAGCACACAAGUUGGGACGAUGAAGACAGUGUCUCCCUCCAGGACAGAGGACAGAAUCAUUAGCUUCAUUUGAAGAAGAAAAUAUAGGGGUUAUUUUGGAUGUGGUGCAUUGGCAGCUAUUCCACAGACCCGGCAGGAAGAUGCAACAACUCCCCAAAACAACAAAAUGUUAAAGAAGAGUAAAUGCUUCUGUUUCAUCCAGAAUGAGGCUUUUCCUAAAAGAAAAUGUGGAUUCAACUUAAGGCUCUGCGUGAUGAAGAGCUUGAAGGAAGUAUAGUGAUGUCAGCAGCUUACCUUGAAUGCAUCAAAA